UACGUAGGGGGCAAGCGUUGUCCGGAAUCAUUGGGCGUAAAGCGCGUGUAGGCGGCUCGGUAAGUCUGCUGUGAAAGUCCAAGGCUCAACCUUGGGAUGCCGGUCGAUACUGCCGGACUAGAGUUCGGAAGAGGCGAGUGGAAUUCCCGGUGUAGCGGUGAAAUGCGCAGAUAUCGGGAGGAACACCUAUGGCGAAGGCAGCUCGCUGGGACGUUACUGACGCUGAGACGCGAAAGCGUGGGGAGCAAACAGG
RNAcentral lists this ribosomal RNA (253 nucleotides) under uncultured bacterium. RNAcentral describes it as "partial 16S ribosomal RNA". It matches the Rfam family "Bacterial small subunit ribosomal RNA", at positions 524 to 776 of the family's 1533-position model. The record is from RNAcentral.